This 782-nucleotide long non-coding RNA is filed under the name Cricetulus griseus (Chinese hamster). Its description in RNAcentral is "lncRNA (ENSCGRG00015035984.1)". Lineage: Eukaryota; Metazoa; Chordata; Mammalia; Rodentia; Cricetidae. The record is from RNAcentral.
GUCAGUGACUAAACGCAUCAGAACAGCAUCUGGCAGGGGUGCUUUGCUGCAGAGCUUAAUAUGCAACUAGUGUUUUUCCUCCUGUGUCAGCAGUUAGACAAGGAUUUGGUAAAUAAGGGUUCCAGGGAGGCAAAUGCUCUGUCAGCCAGGGGAAGAAGAGGAGAAAGUUUUGAAAUCCACUCUGUGGUGGCUGUAAGAGAGCGGCAGCAUAAAAACCUGCUGGGACGGAGCACUAUGUGUUCAGUGGCUUGCACAGGAAAUUGGAAAUCGGAGACCUGGGAUCGACCCCCCACUUCUCUGACUCAUGCUUAAACAAACCCAACACACCCCCGACCUUUGCUCCCUGCAUCUGCAGCAGGCCUUACCCACCAACAGCUCCCUCUCUCACCUUCUUUGCUGGCACAGGGCUCCCUGGCUCACUGAAGAUCCACACUGACAAGCCUGCUUAGACCAGUGCUCCUAAGUGUUCCUGUCUUGAUGGAUUAGCUUGGCCAGGACAAGUUUACACAUCACUGGAGAAGUGUGAAGAGGGAGUGCGGAUGGAAAAAAAAUAGAGACACAAGAAGAGGUUUAUAAUGUUUGAAAUUAGGCAGCCCAGCCCGGAACUUUCCAUAAAAACUUUCUCCUGGCUCCUCCUCUUUCCUCCCUUUUAUUGCCAGAGUAUCUGAAUGGGCAAGCCUGCCUUGCUGUUUCCAUUACUCAAACACACACUUGGGUUUAAAGGGUGUGAGAACCACCCUACUUGCCCAUGUAGGGCUUUAAAAAAACAAAACAAAACAGGG